Molecule: ribosomal RNA, 467 nt
Filed under: uncultured bacterium
Lineage: Bacteria
Description: partial 16S ribosomal RNA
Rfam family: Bacterial small subunit ribosomal RNA
Source: RNAcentral
GACGAACGCUGGCGGCGUGCUUAACACAUGCCAGUCGAACGGAAAGGCCCUGCUUUUGUGGGGUGCUCGAGUGGCGAACGGGUGAGUAACACGUGAGUAACCUGCCCUUGACUUUGGGAUAACUUCAGGAAACUGGGGCUAAUACCGGAUAGGAGCUCCUGCUGCAUGGUGGGGGUUGGAAAGUUUCACGGUUGGGGAUGGACUCGCGGCUUAUCAGCUUGUUGGUGGGGUAGUGGCUUACCAAGGCUUUGACGGGUAGCCGGCCUGAGAGGGUGACCGGCCACAUUGGGACUGAGAUACGGCCCAGACUCCUACGGGAGGCAGCAGUGGGGAAUAUUGCACAAUGGGCGGAAGCCUGAUGCAGCAACGCCGCGUGCGGGAUGACGGCCUUCGGGUUGUAAACCGCUUUCGCCUGUGACGAAGCGUGAGUGACGGUAAUGGGUAAAGAAGCACCGGCUAACUACGUG